AGAGUUUGAUCCUGGCUCAGAAUCAACGCUGGCGGCGUGCCUAACACAUGCAAGUCGAACGAAAAAUUGGAGCAAUCCAUGAGUAAAGUGGCGACCGGGUGAGUAACACGUGACCAAUCUACCCUUGAGUGGGGGAUAACCUCGGGAAACCGGGGCUAAUACCGCAUAAUAUCUUCUGAUCGCAAGAACUGAACAUCAAAGGAGCGAUUCGCUUAAGGAGGAGGUCGCGGCUGAUUAGCUAGAUGGCGGGGUAAUGGCCCACCAAGGUAAAGAUCGGUGGCCGGGCUGAGAGGGCGCACGGCCACCCUGGAACUGAAACACGGUCCAUACUCCUACGGGAGGCAGCAGUGGGGAAUUUUGCGCAAUGGGGGAAACCCUGACGCAGCAACGCCGCGUGGAGGAUGAAGUCCCUUGGGACGUAAACUCCUUUCGACCCGGACGAUAAUGACGGUACGGGUGGAAGAAGCCCCGGCUAACUUCGUGCCAGCAGCCGCGGUAAUAGGAGGGGGGCAAGCGUUGUUCGGAAUUAUUGGGCGUAAAGGGCGCGUAGGCGGUGCGGUAAGUCACCUGUGAAACCUCUAGGCUUAACCUAUAGCCUGCAGGCGAAACUGCCGUGCUUGAUGGUGGGAGAGGUGCGUGAAAUUCCCGGUGUAGCGGUGAAAUGCGUAGAUAUCGUGAGGAACACCUGUGGCGAAAGCGGCGCACUGUACCACUUCUGACGCUGAUGCGCCAAAGCUAGGGGAGCACACAGGAUUAGAUACCUUGGUGUCCUAGCCCUAAACGAUGGAUGCUUGGUGUGAUCGGUACACAUCCCAUCGUGCCGUAACUGACGCGUUGUCAUCCCGCCAGGGGAGUACGGACGCGAGGAUGAAACUCAACGGAAUUGACG
Molecule: ribosomal RNA, 889 nt
Filed under: uncultured bacterium
Lineage: Bacteria
Description: bacterial SSU rRNA
Rfam family: Bacterial small subunit ribosomal RNA
Source: RNAcentral